GAGCAGCUUUCUGUCUCCUUGCCCUUCCACCAUGACGCUUCUGCCUUACCAUGGGCCAAAGAGUAAUGGAGCCAGCUACCUGUAGACUGAAAUCUCUGAGACUGAGACCAAACAAACCUUUCCUCAUUCAGUUGUGUAUCUCAGCGAUCUAAAGGGACUGAGACAUUGUCUGGACUGGGGUUUCCUGUCUAGAAGAUGGGUCUGUUGUGGAUUCCAUGAGGUCAUAUGGAUCUUCUGCAUUUGGUUCUAGCUAAGUAAGUGUGAUCAUAGGUAAAUUCAGGUCUGUGUGUGUAGAUCUAUGUCUGUGUGUACAGCUACCUAUAAAGUUUUAUUAGCAAGCUAGAACAACAGCAACAUGGCACCAUGAGCCUCUCCCUGGGGCUGGGGCACCUGAUUUGCCUGCCUCACUGCAAGGCUGUGCCCACAUGACGCCUGGGGCAGAAGAUGUGCUCCCAGCAGCACUUGCAUCCUGAUGGUUCUGACCCUCACCUGAAACAGCAAGAAAUCCAGCUUCAGGCGCAGAUGGAUUGCGGUUGCAAGAGUCUUGAACGCCACAGGGAUCAUUACCUAAGAGAUGUUGCUGUGAGGGUAAACAUGAGACCAAGACACUGCCCUGUGCUGAGUGCCGGGGGAAGGGCUUCCCAGAGGAGGCGACACAGAGCUUGUCGCAGGAGAGAGAGAGUGGGCACGGCCAUCAUUGGACUUCUGGCAACUGAGCUCAAGACUGAUGCACGCUGUGUCUUAGGGUGCUCUCCUGGGCUGAGCAGGGCCUGGAGCAGGCAGAUGUGCUCACAGCUGCCCGGGUGCCAGGAUACCACAGCCACUGUCCUGCUCAGUCCAGCCCUGGGCUUUGGUGUCCAGGCGGGAGAAACUUGGCUCUGUUGAGCUUUUCAAAAUAAAGUGGUUUUUAUUUCAUAUUCACGAGAGAGG
RNAcentral lists this long non-coding RNA (930 nucleotides) under Heterocephalus glaber (naked mole-rat). Its description in RNAcentral is "lncRNA (ENSHGLG00000035604.1)". The record is from RNAcentral. Lineage: Eukaryota; Metazoa; Chordata; Mammalia; Rodentia; Bathyergidae.